This 383-nucleotide ribosomal RNA is filed under the name uncultured bacterium. RNAcentral describes it as "bacterial SSU rRNA". It matches the Rfam family "Bacterial small subunit ribosomal RNA", at positions 28 to 407 of the family's 1533-position model. The record is from RNAcentral.
GAUGAACGCUAGCGGCAGGCCUAAUACAUGCAAGUCGAGCGGCAAGUCGAGGAGUAAUCUAAGAACUAGAGCGGCGCACGGGUGCGUAACGCGUAUGCAACCUACCUUAUACUGGGGGAUAGCCCGGAGAAAUCUGGAUUAAUACCCCCAUGGCACAUAUUGAUGGCAUCUGAGAUAUGUUAAAGAUUUAUUGGUAUAAGAUGGGCAUGCGUCUGAUUAGCUAGUUGGCGGUGUAACGGACCACCAAGGCGACGAUCAGUAGGGGUUCUGAGAGGAAGGUCCCCCACACUGGCACUGAGAUACGGGCCAGACUCCUACGGGAGGCAGCAGUAGGGAAUAUUGGGGCAAUGUCGGAAGACUGACCCAGCCAUGCCGCGUGCAGG